RNAcentral lists this ribosomal RNA (417 nucleotides) under uncultured bacterium. Its description in RNAcentral is "bacterial SSU rRNA". It matches the Rfam family "Bacterial small subunit ribosomal RNA", at positions 354 to 787 of the family's 1533-position model. The record is from RNAcentral.
UCGGGAAGUAUUGCGCAAUGGAGGAAACUCUGACGCAGUGACGCCGCGUGCAGGAAGAAGGUUUUCGGAUUGUAAACUGCUUUAGACAGGGAAGAAACAAGACAGUACCUGUAGAAUAAGCUCCGGCUAACUACGUGCCAGCAGCCGCGGUAAUACGUAGGGAGCAAGCGUUAUCCGGAUUUAUUGGGUGUAAAGGGUGCGUAGACGGGAAUGCAAGUUGGUUGUGAAAUCCCUCGGCUCAACCGAGGAAUUGCAACCAAAACUAUAUUUCUUGGGUGCUGGAGAGGAAAGUGGAAUUCCUAGUGUAGCGGUGAAAUGCGUAGAUAUUAGGAGGAACACCAGUGGCGAAGGCGACUUUCUGGACAGUAACUGACGUUGAAGCACGAAAGUGUGGGGAGCAAACAGGAUUAGAUACCC